This 743-nucleotide ribosomal RNA is filed under the name uncultured bacterium. RNAcentral's name for it is "bacterial SSU rRNA". It matches the Rfam family "Bacterial small subunit ribosomal RNA", at positions 94 to 823 of the family's 1533-position model. The record is from RNAcentral.
AGCGGCGGAUGGGUGAGUAACACGUGGGGAACCUGCCCCUAAGUCUGGGAUACCAUUUGGAAACAGGUGCUAAUACCGGAUAAUAAAGCAGAUCGCAUGAUCAGCUUUUGAAAGGCGGCGUAAGCUGUCGCUAAGGGAUGGCCCCGCGGUGCAUUAGCUAGUUGGUAAGGUAACGGCUUACCAAGGCGACGAUGCAUAGCCGAGUUGAGAGACUGAUCGGCCACAUUGGGACUGAGACACGGCCCAAACUCCUACGGGAGGCAGCAGUAGGGAAUCUUCCACAAUGGACGCAAGUCUGAUGGAGCAACGCCGCGUGAGUGAAGAAGGUUUUCGGAUCGUAAAGCUCUGUUGUUGGUGAAGAAGGAUAGAGGUAGUAACUGGCCUUUAUUUGACGGUAAUCAACCAGAAAGUCACGGCUAACUACGUGCCAGCAGCCGCGGUAAUACGUAGGUGGCAAGCGUUGUCCGGAUUUAUUGGGCGUAAAGCGAGCGCAGGCGGAAAAAUAAGUCUAAUGUGAAAGCCCUCGGCUUAACCGAGGAACUGCAUCGGAAACUGUUUUUCUUGAGUGCAGAAGAGGAGAGUGGAACUCCAUGUGUAGCGGUGGAAUGCGUAGAUAUAUGGAAGAACACCAGUGGCGAAGGCGGCUCUCUGGUCUGCAACUGACGCUGAGGCUCGAAAGCAUGGGUAGCGAGCAGGAUUAGAUACCCUGGUAGUCCAUGCCGUAAACGAUGAGUGCUAAGUGU